GUGCCAUUCCCUGGGCAGGUGGUUCUGGGUUCUAUAAGAAAGCAGACUAACACAGAAGGGUAAAGGAAGUCUCCAUAAAACCCAGAGAGGAAAACUGCACUUCCUCUUUGGAUCCUGUCUGGAGUCACAGAU
Rattus norvegicus (Norway rat) is the source of this 132-nucleotide small nucleolar RNA. Ensembl annotates it as small nucleolar RNA SNORA26. The record is from Ensembl. NCBI's taxonomy places the organism in Eukaryota, Metazoa, Chordata, Mammalia, Rodentia, Muridae.